RNAcentral lists this ribosomal RNA (2241 nucleotides) under Triticum aestivum (bread wheat). RNAcentral describes it as "partial small subunit ribosomal RNA". The record is from RNAcentral. Lineage: Eukaryota; Viridiplantae; Streptophyta; Magnoliopsida; Poales; Poaceae.
AUGGAUAGUCACCAUUUAGAUGAGCCAAGGGUAACUGAUUCUGGUGCCCAAAUAAUGGAUCGCCAAAUUGAGCUGGAAGACAUACUACUUCAUGAAGAUUUAGAGCCCAUGGCCCUAUCAUACCAACUUUUGAACAAAAUCACUGAUGAUUUUUCUGAUAAGUUGGAAAUUGGAAGAGGCGGCUUUGCAGUGGUCUAUAAGGCUAUACUUGAUAACGGUGUUGUCGCUGUAAAGAGAUUGUCCAAUAUGUACAUGCACGAGGAUAAAUUUAAAAGAGAGGUUGAGUGUCUAAUGAAUGCAAAACACAAGAACAUUGUACGAUUUCUGGGAUAUUGUUCUGACACACAAGGAAAUAUGGGAAGCUACAAUGGGAAAUGGAUUAUGGCAGAGGUACAAGAAAGAUUGCUCUGCUUUGAAUAUCUGAGCAAAGGAAGUCUUGAAGGUUAUAUAAAAGAUUCAUUAGGAGAAAUUGAAUGGAGAAAGCGCUACCAUAUAAUAAAGGGGAUCUGUGAGGGGUUAAAUUAUCUUCACCAAAAAAAUAUUAUGCACUUAGACUUGAAACCCGAAAAUAUAUUGUUGGAUGAAGAUAUGACCGCAAAAAUUACUGAUUUUGGACUAUCGAGGUGUUUUGACAAAGACCAGACAAGGGUCAUGACGAAUAGUGUGGCGGGAACUAUGGGAUAUUUGGCACCUGAAUGCUAUAGGAGUGAAAAAAUAACAAUCACACACAAGCUUGACUUGUAUAGUCUUGGUAUUAUAAUUAUGGAGAUGUUGACUGGCAAAAAGGGGUAUCAAAUUACUGUUGAGAAUGUACUUGAAAUUUGGAGUAAAUCGAUGGUGGAUGAACUGCAGUUGGAACAAAUACGAGUAUGUGCUACAAUUGGGAUAGAGUGCAUCGAUUUGGAUCCAGCAAAGAGACCAGCUAGUAUGAGUCAUAUAAUUGAUAGGCUUACCGAAAUAGAAUGUAGUACACAUGCAAUCUCUAUAGGUGGGACAAGUGAGCUUCUUCUCCUUCAACAGGUCACGCUUUGCUUCCCCUUUCAGCCCAAUAAGGUUAUCAUGUGCCCACUGGAGCUAACAAAUAACAUCGAUAAGCGCAUUGCAUUUAGGCUUACAGACAAGAGCACGGAGUCCUUCAUAAAUCUUCCAUUACAUGGACUCGUUCCACCUAACACCACUUACACUCUCGUCUUGACAACAAAAGAGAAGAAAGAUCGACCACGAAAAUAUAUUGCAGAUCUUAUCCUCCAGAGUGUUAUAUCAUCAUUGUGUGAUGAUUCGUAUAUUGGAAAUGGCGAAAGUUUGCCCAAUAGUAUUUUUCAUGAGACGGGGAAUGCAGCGCAGAUGGUGAAACUAAAGGCACUUUAUACACAACGACAACACAACACAACAUCGUUGUCUAAUGCAAUUAUGCCCACAAUCAAGAUAAUCUUCUCCACGGAAAAAAAUAGAGAAUUACUCAGGCAUUCGUUGGAUAUAAACCAUGCCAAGAAAUGGAUAACAAUGGGUUACCAAGAUGGAAUUGUUGUCUUUUGGGACUAUGAGACACAGAGUAAAGUGGAUUGGCUUAAAGUCUCAGCAGAUGAUGAAAUUGUGUGCAUCAAAUUUAUUGCAAGAAAGCAAUGGAUUGUUGCAGGCACACUAAAUGGUAACAUCCAUGUGUACAACUAUGAAGAAAUGAAAAGGAUCACAAGUUUCACCGCUGGUACAUAUGAAUCACUCCAGUCACUAGCCGUACAUCCAACCCGGCCAUAUUUAUUGUCAGCGGGCAUUUACAUUAAGCUUUGGAACUGGGAUCACGGUUGGGAGUGCAUACGGACAUUUGAGUAUGAAGACUACAAAAAAAUUGUUGGAUUUAGUCCAAAUGACACCUUUGCUAGUACUUCAAUGGUUCACCCAAUUGUGGAGUGCACCAAGUUUGAGUCAUAUGUUAUAGAGGGAGAUUAUACUGUGAAGGUAUGGAGUCUCGAUUCACCCAAAUAUGAAUAUGCCCUGGAUGGGCAUUCUAACAGAGUCGUCUGCUUGGAUUUCCUCACAUAUCACGGUCAUGACUUUUUGGUUACAGGUUCAGAUGAUAAGACUGCCAAGAUAUGGUAUUUAGAGACAAAGGAAUGUGCAUACACACUUGAAGCUUUUGUGUCUCCGGUUACAUCUGUCCUAUACCAACCCGAUCUUCAGACUCUAUUUACAGGUUCAAAUGAUGGUGCUAUUUAUUUGUGGAGCACCGCAAAUUGCAGAUAA